UCCGGUUUGGCACCGGCAGUCUCCAAUGAGUCCCCGGCAUUACCCGCUGGCAACAUUGGACAGGGGUUGCGCUCGUUGCGCCACUUAAGGCAACACCUCACGACACGAGCUGACGACAGCCAUGCAGCACCUAACUGCAGGUUCCCCGAAGGGCACUCCCAGCUUUCGCCCGGAUUCCUGCACUUUCUAGCCCAGGUAAGGUUCUUCGCGUUGCGUCGAAUUAAACAACAUGCUCCACCGCUUGUGCGGGCCCCCGUCAAUUCCUUUGAGUUUUAGCCUUGCGGCCGUACUCCCCAGGCGGAGUGCUUAACGCGUUAGCUUCGGCACCACGAGGGUCAAAGCCCGUGACACCUAGCACUCAUCGUUUACGGCGUGGACUAC
This 381-nucleotide unclassified non-coding RNA is filed under the name uncultured Myxococcales bacterium. Its description in RNAcentral is "contains 16S-23S intergenic spacer region". The record is from RNAcentral. Lineage: Bacteria; Pseudomonadati; Myxococcota; Myxococcia; Myxococcales.